RNAcentral lists this long non-coding RNA (1011 nucleotides) under Leguminivora glycinivorella. Its description in RNAcentral is "uncharacterized LOC125242099". The record is from RNAcentral. Lineage: Eukaryota; Metazoa; Arthropoda; Insecta; Lepidoptera; Tortricidae.
AAGAAAAAUGGAUGCCGUUCAGACGUACACGCAUUAUUUGGAACUGAAAAUUACGUAAUUUAUCGACCUGCUGGCUUGUAUUUGUUAUAAAUCAUAAAAAAAUUAUGGAAAACAUCAUGAACAAUAAUGAAACAAACCGAACCUUUAGCUACAAUAAUAAAAUGACCCCAUGACGCCAGUGGAACUACGUGGUUUUCUUUCAUGAUGAUUUGAUGAUACCAUAAUGGAAUUAGCCAAGUUUUCGCCGUAUUGGGUGCUAGAUGCCCCUUGGAGUUAAGCCCCAGUGCCACUAUACUACCUUACCAGUUAUGUGUGGGUGUUGUAGUCCUAAGACACCCCGGAGGUACAAAGGGCCUUCACAAACUCACGCCACGCCUUCCUAUCUUCAGCAACCCUCGUGACCUCGCUCCACCAGCUCAAACCUGCCAGUCGCAGCUCAUUUUUCGACGGACCGUUUCCAUGAGUAGACAAGGCACCGACGAUCACGGCUUGCAUCACCUGUACUGCUUCGUAAUAUAGUAUGCUGAACACCGCUGCCAUUAUACUAGGAACAACGUCCUGCCCCUUCCCCGGCUGCGCACAAAUUGGAACUCCAUUGGCAUGCCCCUUUGACUGAGCAACUUGUGUAUGUGUGUGUGCUCGAAACACAUUCACUUGCAACAGAAUGACUCCCAGGCUGAUCUGGCUCAGUUCCUGUAUGUCUGAUCUACAUAGACAAUGGUGUGAAAGAGUGAAAAUUCUUCUCCAUGUACAAUCACUUCUAACGCCUACACUGACUACACCAGAUAUGAUCAUCCCUCAACGUGUCCCACAUAAAGAUACCUUUCAAAAGUCAUCAGGAAGAACAUAAUAUCUUUUCCCAUAUUUGCCUGAAUAAUCCUAACUAAAAGUUAUUUCUCUAUUCUAUUUUUCCUGCAUGGAGUGGCGCUUUUCCGUCUAAUGGAACCAACAAGAACAUGUAUGCUCUGGGUUUUUUUUGUGCACCUUUCCAACAUUACUAAUAAAGCAUUU